RNAcentral lists this small nucleolar RNA (73 nucleotides) under Bombyx mori (domestic silkworm). RNAcentral's name for it is "Bm_5". Lineage: Eukaryota; Metazoa; Arthropoda; Insecta; Lepidoptera; Bombycidae. The record is from RNAcentral.
AUCAAAUGAUGAUACAGAAAUAUUCACAUGCUAGACUAAUGAAUUUUUAUGAUUCUACUUAAAAUCUGAGUUU